ACCCUCCGGAUUCCUUACCCCUCACUUCUAAAUAUUGGUCUGAGGGAUGGAAGGGGGAGGAAAGUAAAGAUGAAGUGGACGUGGAGCCUUCAGUGACAUAUAAAUUCAUUUCAAGCAUUU
RNAcentral lists this small nucleolar RNA (120 nucleotides) under Echinops telfairi (small Madagascar hedgehog). RNAcentral's name for it is "Small nucleolar RNA SNORA61 (ENSETEG00000026859.1)". The record is from RNAcentral. Lineage: Eukaryota; Metazoa; Chordata; Mammalia; Afrosoricida; Tenrecidae.